UGUAGGAGCUGCCGAAGGCUGCGAUCUUUUGAUCUUGUUUAUAAAAGCAAAAGAUCGCAGCCUUCGGCAGCUCCUACA
Molecule: unclassified non-coding RNA, 78 nt
Filed under: Pseudomonas moraviensis
Lineage: Bacteria; Pseudomonadati; Pseudomonadota; Gammaproteobacteria; Pseudomonadales; Pseudomonadaceae
Source: RNAcentral